AAUCAACGCUGGCGGCGUGCCUCAGACAUGCAAGUCGAACGAUUAAAGCUCUCUUCGGAGAGUGUAUAGAGUGGCGCACGGGUGAGUAACACGUAAGUAAUCUACCCUCGAGUGGGGAAUAACAACCGGAAACGGUUGCUAAUACCGCAUAAUGCAGCGGCACCGCAAGGUGACAGUUGUUAAAGAUUUAUCGCUUGAGGAGGAGCUUGCGGCAGAUUAGCUAGUUGGUAGGGUAACGGCUUACCAAGGCUACGAUCUGUAACCGGUCUAAGAGGACGGUCGGUCACACUGACACUGAAUAACGGGUCAGACUCCUACGGGAGGCAGCAGUCGGGAAUUUUGGGCAAUGGGCGAAAGCCUGACCCAGCAACGCCGCGUGAAGGAUGAAGUAUUUCGGUAUGUAAACUUCGAGAGAAUAGGAAGAAUUAAUGACGGUACUAUUUAUAAGGUCCGGCUAACUACGUG
Molecule: ribosomal RNA, 465 nt
Filed under: uncultured bacterium
Lineage: Bacteria
Description: bacterial SSU rRNA
Rfam family: Bacterial small subunit ribosomal RNA
Source: RNAcentral